This is a long non-coding RNA of Solea senegalensis (Senegalese sole), 1337 nucleotides long. RefSeq lists it as uncharacterized. The record is from RefSeq and is a predicted model, not a curated record. Lineage: Eukaryota; Metazoa; Chordata; Actinopteri; Pleuronectiformes; Soleidae. The transcript has 3 exons.
GGAAGCGGGCCAAGCCGAGGCAGCCGCGUGGGUUUCCCCGUGCAUCUUUUACUCCAGAUCAAACAAUCAAACAGACAACAUGAAACAUGGAGCACUGCUACUUAUUCCACUCAUCGCUGCCUUUUUUUGGCGGAAAGAGCUGAACAAGCUGCAAUUAUUCAGGCGGCGUCUCUGCAGACGUGCUGGAAGUGGCGUUCUUUCAUCUGGGUGCUCGGUGCAACUCGCUCUCAAGCACCUGCUGCGGCGGGGAUGCAUCUGGCUGACACGCGGCUUAAGGAAAAGGAGGGAUCGUCCGUCACACGCGUGGUUCUUCCAUGAAGACCACGUCUGAGCAGACCUCUGGACCUGGUCCCGCAGCUUUCUGCCACUUCUGAGCUGAUGGCACAGUGAGACAUUGUCAGAUAUUUGAAGGGAAAUAAGCAUGAUGUGUCUUUUAUCUGCCACACUGAGUUUCCUUGGCCGACCACUGUGUCUACGGUCCUCAGCUUUUCUUUGUGCUUCUUCAAAAAAGCUUGAAACCGCAGUCUGCUUUGAAACCUUUGUCUGGGAGAGACCUUUCUGAAGUAGCACAACUGCCUUGUGUCUUGCUGCUGUUCUCAGCCUUGGUAGCAGAGUCUGGCUGUUCCUCACUCAAUUUGAAGCCUCCUACUCAGCUGUUUCUCUUUCUGUUAAUGACCUUGCUGCAACCUACAUCAUCAUUAGCACCUGUUUGGUAUUUGGUUUGUCCCAAAAAAAACCAGACUUUGUGCAAGUUUACUGAUAAAGAUCGAUGCCUGUUUGAGUGAUCACACCAAAUAUCGAUUUCAUUUAGAUUUUUCUUCUGUUACUGUUUGGUAAAUUGAUAAAAAAAAAAAGUAAAGCAUUCUUACUUUACACUAGAGCUGAGUCUGAUGGGACUGCCAUUAAUAGUGUUUGGACUUUAUGAAUCCGCCAUGAUGACCCGGGUUAGUUAAGGAUCAAGGAUCCUUUUACAGAGAAUCAAACUGGACGCACAAAGGACUGUGGGUACUUUUAGCUGCGGUGAGGAGACACACCAUGCAUCCUUGUAAAUUCAUAGUCCUUUGACUGAUGACAUCACGUCCUUGAAAUUCAACCUUUUGAGGAUCCUUUCUUAAAUCGGAGAAGCAACACGGAAUAGACCACAUUUGAAUGAGAGGGUGGAGCUCAGGAAGAAGCAAGGCCUGGAUCGUACCAACUGAUCCUACUGAGCCACGGCCUCAAGCGCAUCCUGCUUUACAUCAUCUAAUUUAACAUUUAAUUGUUCCAUCCAACAUCAUGUGGGAUCUGAGAGUCGCAAUAAGACCAAGAAGUCCUGAGAAGAAUGUUUACUGAUGACA